UGCCAAUGAGGAGAGCAAGCAUCCUGUCUUAACCCCUGUCCUAGCCCCAGAGCCAGUAAUGGUGAACCCACUGGGGCUAACAGGGAGAGAGGAUGAGAACUUGUUCCAGAAGGAACUGUCUGAGGUAU
This is a small nucleolar RNA of Catagonus wagneri (Chacoan peccary), 128 nucleotides long. Its record names the gene SNORD22. It matches the Rfam family "Small nucleolar RNA SNORD22". From Rfam's summary of the family: U22 is a member of the C/D class of snoRNA which contain the C (UGAUGA) and D (CUGA) box motifs. The record is from Ensembl. NCBI's taxonomy places the organism in Eukaryota, Metazoa, Chordata, Mammalia, Artiodactyla, Tayassuidae.